Long non-coding RNA from Rhincodon typus (whale shark), 593 nucleotides. RefSeq lists it as uncharacterized. Lineage: Eukaryota; Metazoa; Chordata; Chondrichthyes; Orectolobiformes; Rhincodontidae. The transcript has 3 exons. The record is from RefSeq and is a predicted model, not a curated record.
CCUGGUUCUUGACACUGGACUUACUUAUGGAACGUGAAAUAAGGAAGGCAAUAGACAGGUGUUGCAGGCCGAAAGAAUCUCUGUGUUUAUUUAAAUACAAAGGGUGAUAACAACUCUUUUGAACAUUCUCAGGGAUAGCUGUUUGGAACUGUUCUGGGGAUUGCUGCUUCAGGAAAAAGCACUUGAAGAAUGGAAGAUAAGGAAGCUAUGUCUGAUCACAUUAAAAGCAUUUUUAUCACCAGAAAGCAGCAGAUAGUAAGGAGGAGGACUCUUAAAGGUGUAUUCAUGUUGACUGUUUGGGGAUUUUGUAAAAGACUUUGAGAAGAAGUAAAACACCAAGAGGAAAAGAAUAGGAAGCAGAUGAGAAGUUGAUUACACAUGCCAGCUUGCAUCCUGAUUUGGACUGACCUUCACGACUUGUCAAGAGUAUAUAUUGUUGUUGUCUGGCUAACAUGCUGUAUUCUAUCUUAUGCUCUGAUUAAACUCAACCAACCCACUGUUCUGAUUGCUGUUUCAAAGAGUUAUAUCAAUAACAUUUCUGCCUUCCACAUUACCAAAAUGUCCAAUAAAACAUUGAAUCACCUGUUGGAAUA